GACGAACGCUGGCGGCGUGCCUAAUACAUGCAAGUCGAACGAGAGCGCCCGGUGCUUGCACUGGUCAAUCUAGUGGCGAACGGGUGAGUAACACGUGGGUAACCUGCUCAUCAGAGGGGGAUAACAUCCGGAAACGGUUGCUAAAACCGCAUAGGUCUUCGAGCCGCAUGGCUUGAAGAGGAAAAGAGGCGCAAGCUUCUGCUGUUGGCUGGAGCCGCGGUGCCUUAGCUAGUUGGUGAGGUAACGGCUCAGCAAGGCCGUGAUGCAUAGCCGACCUGCGAGGGUGAUCGGCCACAGUGGGACUGAGACACGGACCAAGCUCAUACGGGAGGGAGCAGUAGGGAAGCUUACGCAAUGGACGCAAGUCUGACGGAGAAGCGCCGAGUGAGUGAAGAAGGUGUUCGGAUCGUAGAACUCUGUUGUUAGAGAAGAACAAGUGGUAGAGUAACUGUUAGCGCCGUGACGGUAUCUAAGCAGAAAGCAACGGCUAACUACGUG
This 498-nucleotide ribosomal RNA is filed under the name uncultured bacterium. RNAcentral describes it as "partial 16S ribosomal RNA". It matches the Rfam family "Bacterial small subunit ribosomal RNA", at positions 28 to 507 of the family's 1533-position model. The record is from RNAcentral.